CCUGAGAAACCCAAAAGAUCGAAUAGGGAGAUUCAUCGUCAGCUCAUUUUGUAUAUGUAUGAGUUAUGAUGCGAGUUACUACUUGUAGUAUUGCUUGCACAUUCUUAUAUAUUUAAUUGCAUUAUGUUGUCGGCGUGCACUUCUCCUUUAGUAGAACGUCGCGACUCAUUGUUUGUUGGUUUACGGCCCAAAUUAUUAGUCUUUAAUAUUUUAUUAUAUUAAAAAUUAUUGGUGCUUUCUAACCGGCUAUACAGUGGUAUUCAUAUGGUAAUAAGCCGCAAUUAUAUGCGUCCAUUUCCAUCGCAAGCAAGGCCAAUUUUUGGUAGUACGGACCAAGUGCCGUCGCUAGUAUUGGUCAGCUGUUGGCUGUUAUGGUAUUCUUGGACUGGCUGAAAAAAUAAUUACCGGUUAGCGAUGCUAUUGCUUUGGGUACUUUCAGGACCCGUCUUGAAACACGGACCAAGGAGUCUAACAUGUACGCGAGUCAUUGGGAUUUUUUUUUAAAUUAAACCUAAAGGCGUAAUAAAAGUAAAGAUCGGCCUUGCGUUGAUCGAGGGAGGAUAAGUUGCAUUAUUAUGUAGCUUCNCACUCCCGGGGCGUCUCAUUCUUAUUACAAGAAGAGGCGCACUUAG
This 632-nucleotide ribosomal RNA is filed under the name Spinaria flavipennis. Its description in RNAcentral is "eukaryotic LSU rRNA". It matches the Rfam family "Eukaryotic large subunit ribosomal RNA", at positions 386 to 798 of the family's 3401-position model. The record is from RNAcentral. Lineage: Eukaryota; Metazoa; Arthropoda; Insecta; Hymenoptera; Braconidae.